AUGAACGCCGGCGGCGUGCCUAAUACAUGCAAGUCGAGCGAACAGAUGAGGAGCUUGCUCCUCUGACGUUAGCGGCGGACGGGUGAGUAACACGUGGAUAACCUACCUAUAAGACUGGGAUAACUUCGGGAAACCGGAGCUAAUACCGGAUAAUAUAUUGAACCGCAUGGUUCAAUAGUGAAAGACGGUUUUGCUGUCACUUAUAGAUGGAUCCGCGCCGCAUUAGCUAGUUGGUAAGGUAACGGCUUACCAAGGCAACGAUGCGUAGCCGACCUGAGAGGGUGAUCGGCCACACUGGAACUGAGACACGGUCCAGACUCCUACGGGAGGCAGCAGUAGGGAAUCUUCCGCAAUGGGCGAAAGCCUGACGGAGCAACGCCGCGUGAGUGAUGAAGGUCUUCGGAUCGUAAAACUCUGUUAUUAGGGAAGAACAAAUGUGUAAGUAACUAUGCACGUCUUGACGGUACCUAAUCAGAAAGCCACGGCUAACUACGUG
RNAcentral lists this ribosomal RNA (496 nucleotides) under uncultured bacterium. RNAcentral describes it as "partial 16S ribosomal RNA". It matches the Rfam family "Bacterial small subunit ribosomal RNA", at positions 29 to 507 of the family's 1533-position model. The record is from RNAcentral.